Molecule: ribosomal RNA, 836 nt
Filed under: Stoibocephalum koenneckeorum
Lineage: Eukaryota; Metazoa; Platyhelminthes; Cestoda; Lecanicephalidea; Lecanicephalidae
Description: partial 16S ribosomal RNA
Rfam family: Archaeal large subunit ribosomal RNA (bases 585-836)
Source: RNAcentral
UUUCUUACCGAAAAUAUUUGAUUUUAUUAUUAGUUGGGCUGCAUUAUACUAUAGGCCCAUAUUUAUAUCGAGUAGAUGUAUUCAAACUAUUUAUACGCUGUGAGAAAUUAUUCGCAUAUAUUUAUACCUGUUUAAUGACUAUUUAAUUAUACCUAUACCCUGCGCUACGAGGUGCAUGGUUUUAAAAUAUUUAUUAUGUUUUAUUAUUAUUAAUUAAGGGUUAGAAUUACCCAUGGUUAGUAACUGUGUUAUAACUUUUAUUAUCUUUUUUAUCAAAUUUUUUUAUUUGUCAUUUUUUAUUAAUUUUUAGUAUCAAUUUAUGAUUAAAUUAGUAAUAUUAAUUUAAAUUUUGUUUCUCAAUAGCUUCCUGUCUGUUUAUUAAAAACAUUUCCACUUUAAAUUUUUAGUGGUAGUACCUGCUCUAUGCUUUUGUAAAUGGCCGCAGUAUCUUGACUGUGCGAAGGUAGCAUAAUUAAUUGCCUUAUAAUUGAAGGCUUGUUUGAAUGGUUUGACAAGGUGGUAUAAAACAUAGUUUAUAUUAUUGAAAUUAAUUAUGGGGGCACAGAAUCCCCUUAAUUUAAUUAGACGGAAAGACCCCGGGAUCUUUUAUUUUUGUCUGGGGCAGAUUGCUGUUUUUCACAUGUUAAUUAGACCCUAAUGGUGCAUUGGUGUAAGUUACCCCGGGGAUAACAGUGUAAUAGCAUAUUAGAGAUCUUAUCGAAUUUGCUGCUUGCCACCUCGAUGUUGACUUAGAAUUAAUCUUGGGCGCAGUAGCUCAAGUUUUUGGUCUGUUCGACCUUAGUUUUCCUCCAUGAGUUGAGUUAAGACCGGCGUAA